GUGGGGAAUAUUGCACAAUGGAGGGAACUCUGAUGCAGCGAUGCCGCGUGAGGGAAGAAGGUUUUCGGAUUGUAAACCUCUGUCAACGGGGACGAAAAUGACGGUACCCGAGAAGGAAGCUCCGGCUAACUACGUGCCAGCAGCCGCGGUAAUACGUAGGGAGCGAGCGUUGUCCGGAAUUACUGGGUGUAAAGGGAGCGUAGGCGGGGCUUUAAGUCAGGUGUGAAAACUACGGGCUCAACUCGUAGACUGCACUUGAAACUGAGGCUCUUGAGUGGAGCAGAGGCAGGCGGAAUUCCCGGUGUAGCGGUGAAAUGCGUAGAUAUCGGGAGGAACAUCAGUGGCGAAGGCGGCCUGCUGGGCUUUUACUGACGCUGAGGCUCGAAAGCGUGGGGAGCAAACAGG
RNAcentral lists this ribosomal RNA (405 nucleotides) under uncultured bacterium. RNAcentral's name for it is "bacterial SSU rRNA". It matches the Rfam family "Bacterial small subunit ribosomal RNA", at positions 354 to 776 of the family's 1533-position model. The record is from RNAcentral.